CGGGACGGGUGAGUAACGCGUGGGCAACCUGCCUCACACAGGGGGACAACAGCUGGAAACGGCUGCUAAUACCGCAUAGGCGCACAGAAUCGCAUGAUUCGGUGUGGAAAGCUUUUGCAGUGUGAGAUGGGCCCGCGUCCGAUUAGGUAGUUGGUGGGGUAACGGCUCACCAAGCCGACGAUCGGUAGCCGGCCUGAGAGGGUGGACGGCCACAUUGGGACUGAGACACGGCCCAAACUCCUACGGGAGGCAGCAG
This 256-nucleotide ribosomal RNA is filed under the name uncultured bacterium. RNAcentral describes it as "partial 16S ribosomal RNA". It matches the Rfam family "Bacterial small subunit ribosomal RNA", at positions 98 to 354 of the family's 1533-position model. The record is from RNAcentral.